This 606-nucleotide ribosomal RNA is filed under the name uncultured actinomycete. RNAcentral's name for it is "bacterial SSU rRNA". It matches the Rfam family "Bacterial small subunit ribosomal RNA", at positions 252 to 866 of the family's 1533-position model. The record is from RNAcentral. Lineage: Bacteria; Bacillati; Actinomycetota; Actinomycetes; Actinomycetales.
GUGAGGUAAUGGCUCACCAAGGCGUCGACGGGUAGCCGGCCUGAGAGGGUGACCGGCCACACUGGGACUGAGACACGGCCCAGACUCCUACGGGAGGCAGCAGUGGGGAAUAUUGCACAAUGGGCGAAAGCUUGAUGCAGCAACGCCGCGUGCGGGAUGACGGCCUUCGGGUUGUAAACCGCUUUUAGUAAGGAAGAAGCCUUCGGGUGACGGUACUUGCAGAAAAAGGACCGGCUAACUACGUGCCAGCAGCCGCGGUAAUACGUAGGGUCCGAGCGUUGUCCGGAAUUAUUGGGCGUAAAGAGCUCGUAGGCGGUUUGUCGCGUCUGCUGUGAAAACUAGAGGCUCAACCUCUAGCCUGCAGUGGGUACGGGCAGACUUGAGUGGUGUAGGGGAGACUGGAAUUCCUGGUGUAGCGGUGGAAUGCGCAGAUAUCAGGAGGAACACCGAUGGCGAAGGCAGGUCUCUGGGCACUUACUGACGCUGAGGAGCGAAAGCGUGGGGAGCGAACAGGAUUAGAUACCCUGGUAGUCCACGCCGUAAACGUUGGGCGCUAGAUGUGGGGACCUUUCCACGGUUUCCGUGUCGUAGCUAACGCAUUAAGCG